RNAcentral lists this ribosomal RNA (465 nucleotides) under uncultured Klebsiella sp. RNAcentral's name for it is "bacterial SSU rRNA". It matches the Rfam family "Bacterial small subunit ribosomal RNA", at positions 338 to 795 of the family's 1533-position model. Lineage: Bacteria; Pseudomonadati; Pseudomonadota; Gammaproteobacteria; Enterobacterales; Enterobacteriaceae. The record is from RNAcentral.
CCUACGGGGGGCAGCAGUGGGGAAUAUUGCACAAUGGGCGCAAGCCUGAUGCAGCCAUGCCGCGUGUGUGAAGAAGGCCUUCGGGUUGUAAAGCACUUUCAGCGGGGAGGAAGGCGGUGAGGUUAAUAACCUCAUCGAUUGACGUUACCCGCAGAAGAAGCACCGGCUAACUCCGUGCCAGCAGCCGCGGUAAUACGGAGGGUGCAAGCGUUAAUCGGAAUUACUGGGCGUAAAGCGCACGCAGGCGGUCUGUCAAGUCGGAUGUGAAAUCCCCGGGCUCAACCUGGGAACUGCAUUCGAAACUGGCAGGCUAGAGUCUUGUAGAGGGGGGUAGAAUUCCAGGUGUAGCGGUGAAAUGCGUAGAGAUCUGGAGGAAUACCGGUGGCGAAGGCGGCCCCCUGGACAGAGACUGACGCUCAGGUGCGAAAGCGUGGGGAGCAAACAGGAUUAGAUACCCUUGUAGUC